RNAcentral lists this long non-coding RNA (784 nucleotides) under Rattus norvegicus (Norway rat). RNAcentral's name for it is "long non-coding RNA NONRATT016094". Lineage: Eukaryota; Metazoa; Chordata; Mammalia; Rodentia; Muridae. The record is from RNAcentral.
GACAGGGGAUGUGCUGGCGUCAAGGGGGCCCUCUAGGUGGGUUCCCAGACACUGCAGAGCAGCGCACUCCGCUCGCCUCCAAAGAAGAGUGAGCUAAAGGGGUUAAAAGGAAGAGCUUGCCCUGAAGGAGCAGAUUUCUUUCAGCCAAAGUGGCAUGUUGUGCAUCAGCAGCAGCAGCAGCAGCAACAACAACAACAAGAACAAGAACAAGAAGUCUGAAUUUUUCCCAGGAAUAUUGCACAUGGGACAUGAUACAACUAUCAGAGUUGGGACUAUCACCAGUAAAGACAUGUCUACUGGCAAAAUGAAGCAACUGGUCAAACAGCCUCAUGCUACCACACUCAAGCACAAGUAAAGGGAUGUGUACAGGCUGAAAUCCAUGUUUGCACACAUUGGAGCUACACGACACACAGUGUUGUAGAUGCAUUACCCUUGAUACAAUACAGUGUUGUAGAUACAUACCCUUACACAACCCAGCACGGUGUGUGUGUUUCAGACACAACCUCUCUACACAGCAUAGCACAGUGUUGUACACACAUAUUCUCUACAUAACACAGUGUUGUAGAUACAUACUCUCCACAUGACAUGGCACAGUGGGUCAGGACAAAGAAAGUGACAUUUGCAGCAGGAUGAAGAGAGGUGUUGGGCCAUAUGCUUGUUACCUAUCUCAUCCUCACUGAAUAUGUAUGUGUAUAUAUAUAUACAUAUAUAUAUAUAUAUAAUGGAUAUUUUAAUACCUCUUUCCAGUUCUGUCACUCCUUCUGCCAGUUUCAAAAGUCAUAUA